UUCUUUUAAAAUUGUGUCUGUUCAUCUGCAUUACCAACUUGAAAAGAUGAAGAGACUUUGAAAGAAGUGAUUGGAUUGUGAGGAGACUAACCUCAUCAAUGGAUGUAUUUAGAGGAGUGAAAUGAGGAUUUCAUCUACCAGACAUCAUCCACACAUCUCCCAGAAGGCAAUAAGUGGGAAAAAAGGGCACACUAAUGCUUUGUCUAUGACUUCCAUUCUACCAUGAGAUUAAAAUGUCACCACCAACUAAAAAAAGAAUGAGGAGAAGCCAGUAGGAGCCAAUACUUACAAUGAUUUGAACCAGGUAUGUCAAUCCAGCAAAAUUCACUAACAGCAAAUGUUCCAUGGGUCUCUCUUGCUCCCCAAAACCUUGCAGUGGGUCGACUAGAGAAAUUUAGCAGCUUAUAUGGAUUACUCAGCACUUCUACAUCCUACAGUGUAGAGGACAUGCCCUUAGGGCUCUAGGAUAUUGUGUUAAUUUGAAAAGUUUAGAAGUUUAAGGGACUCAGCAGGGGGUCAGGGUCCUCACUUGGGAAAAGUUCUGAGACUGUGCCAGAGAGGGGCAGAGGGUGUGAGUGUUAGACCAGCAGAAGGUGGAGAGCCUGCAUACAAUGUAAGAGAGGAAAAGAGGUUUGUUCUCCCCUUUUUGCUGUUGUUGCUUUGUUGUCUUCUGCAGCUUGAACUGUUGCCCCCCAGUCAGGCCACCUGCCUUGGAACCAGCUGAUUAUGGACUGAAACAAACUACACAGUCUAAAAACGCAAUGAUCACCACUUAAAAUGUGAUAAUGAUACAGGAAAAGUAUAACACCAAACCUGCUCGUGUUCAGAUGUGCCAAGUUUGAAAAUGAAUUCCAGAAGACAAAGCAGGUAAAGAAUAGGAAAGAUUUAUUAAGACAUAGUCUCUGAAAGACAAGAGGAGUCUCAGAAAUGGAUUGUCACUGAAGGCUCUGUGAAAUACAACUUGUCCAGCAUGUGGAUACAACAUGGUUCAAACUAUAAUCAAUCAGCAAGAAUAUAAAUAUAGCCACUUAGCUCUUAUUGAUCCAAUAGGAAGCAGAGUGCCAGGGUAUGGGACUGACAUCACUAGCCUUGGCUAUCUAUGACUUCUCAAACAAGAACAUUUUGAGAAUGGAUAAGUCCAGCUGUUCGGGUCACCCACUGGGUGUCCAAUACAUAUCUAGUUUUAAUGGACUGGAUGAUACCAAUUACAAUGUAAUCUUAAGUCCCAUUCACCCUUUAGGGAUGUAUGUAAAUCUAUACAUUGUAUUUUAAUCUUGAGGCCUUGCCUUCUUCAGAUACACCUUCAUGUUAGGGACCAAAAAUCACAAUGGCUAGUGUUGCACACUUCCAUAAGAGAUUAACAGAGGCUUGAAGUUUUGUGUAUCACACUUUUGAGAUUUUCCAUUAUCCCUAUAGGGGCAAAUCAUCCUCUCCCAUGUACUAAGAUUAAGUUUAAAACUAUGAAGAGUAAAGUAUCUCCAGGGCAAGAUUCUCAUUAGUGUAAAACCACAGCUACCUGCUAAAUUACUGUCAUCCGAUCGUCCCCUCCCCCAUCAAUAAAUGCUGAGGUCAAGU
Cavia porcellus (domestic guinea pig) is the source of this 1575-nucleotide long non-coding RNA. RefSeq lists it as uncharacterized. The transcript is spliced from 3 exons. The record is from RefSeq and is a predicted model, not a curated record. Lineage: Eukaryota; Metazoa; Chordata; Mammalia; Rodentia; Caviidae.